This 279-nucleotide ribosomal RNA is filed under the name uncultured bacterium. RNAcentral describes it as "partial 16S ribosomal RNA". It matches the Rfam family "Bacterial small subunit ribosomal RNA", at positions 506 to 784 of the family's 1533-position model. The record is from RNAcentral.
UGCCAGCAGCCGCGGUAAUACGAAGGGACCUCGCGUUGUUCGGAAUUACUGGGCGUAAAGAGCGUGUAGGCUGUUAGGUAAGUCAGAGGUGAAAUCCCAGGGCUCAACCCUGGAACUGCCUUUGAUACUGGUAGUCUUGAGUUCGAGAGAGGUAAGUGGAAUUCCGAGUGUAGAGGUGAAAUUCGUAGAUAUUCGGAGGAACACCAGUGGCGAAGGCGGCUUACUGGCUCGAUACUGACGCUGAGGUGCGAAAGUGUGGGGAGCAAACAGGAUUAGAUA